GGGCCCGCACAAGCGGUGGAGCAUGUGGUUUAAUUCGAUGAUACGCGAGGAACCUUACCAGGGCUUAAAUGUAGGUUGCAUGAUCUAGAGAUAGAUCUUUCUUCGGACUACCUACAAGGUGCUGCAUGGUUGUCGUCAGCUCGUGCCGUGAGGUGUCAGGUUAAGUCCUAUAACGAGCGCAACCCCCUGUCGUUAGUUACCAGCAAUUAAAGUUGGGUACUCUAGCGAGACUGCCGGUGCAAACCGUGAGGAAGGUGGGAUGACGUCAAAUCAUCACGGCCCUUACGUCCUGGGCUACACACGUGCUACAAUGGCCGGUACAGAGAGCAGCCACUAUGCGAAUAGGAGCUAAUCUUUAAAACCGAUCUC
RNAcentral lists this ribosomal RNA (369 nucleotides) under uncultured bacterium. RNAcentral describes it as "bacterial SSU rRNA". It matches the Rfam family "Bacterial small subunit ribosomal RNA", at positions 917 to 1289 of the family's 1533-position model. The record is from RNAcentral.